This 433-nucleotide ribosomal RNA is filed under the name uncultured bacterium. Its description in RNAcentral is "partial 16S ribosomal RNA". It matches the Rfam family "Bacterial small subunit ribosomal RNA", at positions 29 to 507 of the family's 1533-position model. The record is from RNAcentral.
AACGAACGCUGGCGGCAUGCCUAACACAUGCAAGUCGAACGAGACCUUCGGGUCUAGUGGCGCACGGGUGCGUAACGCGUGGGAACCUGCCCUUAGGUUCGGAAUAACUCCCCGAAAGGGGUGCUAAUACCGGAUAAUGUCUUCGGACCAAAGAUUUAUCGCCUUUGGAUGGGCCCGCGUUGGAUUAGCUAGUUGGUAGGGUAAAAGCCUACUAAGGCGACGAUGCAUAGCUGGUCUGAGAGGAUGAUCAGCCACACUGGGACUAAGACACGGCCCAGACUCCUACGGGAGGCAGGAGUGGGGAAUAUUGGACAAUGGGCGAAAGCCUGAUCCAGCAAUGCCGCGUGAGUGAUGAAGGCCUUAGGGUUGUAAAGCUCUUUUACCCGGGAUGAUAAUGACAGUACCGGGAGAAUAAGCUCCGGCUAACUCCGUG